CAUAAGUUAGAUAGGGAAAGUUUUUCGGUGUAGGAUGAGGCUAUAUUGUAUCAGCUAGUUGGUGAGGUAAUGGCUCACCAAGGCUAUGACGCAUAACUGGUCUGAGAGGAUGAUCAGUCACACUGGAACUGAGACACGGUCCAGACUCCUACGGGAGGCAGCAGUAGGGAAUAUUGCUCAAUGGGGGAAACCCUGAAGCAGCAACGCCGCGUGGAGGAUGACACUUUUCGGAGCGUAAACUCCUUUUGUUAGGGAAGAACAAUGACGGUACCUAACGAAUAAGCACCGGCUAACUCCGUGCCAGCAGCCGCGGUAAUACGGAGGGUGCAAGCGUUACUCGGAAUCACUGGGCGUAAAGGACGCGUAGGCGGAUUAUCAAGUCUCUUGUGAAAUCCUAUGGCUUAACCAUAGAACUGCUUGGGAAACUGAUAAUCUAGAGUGAGGGAGAGGCAGAUGGAAUUGGUGGUGUAGGGGUAAAAUCCGUAGAGAUCACCAGGAAUACCCAUUGCGAAGGCGAUCUGCUGGAACUCAACUGACGCUAAUGCGUGAAAGCGUGGGGAGCAAACAGGAUUAGAUACCCUGGUAGUCCACGCCCUAAACGAUGUAUACUAGUUGUUGCUAAGCUAGUCUUGGCAGUAAUGCACCUAACGGAUUAAGUAUACCGCCUGGGGAGUACGGUCGCAAGAUUAAAACUCAAAGGAAUAGACGGGGACCCGCACAAGCGGUGGAGCAUGUGGUUUAAUUCGAAGAUACGCGAAGAACCUUACCCGGACUUGAUAUCUAACAAAUCAUCUAGAGAUAGAAGAGUGUCUGCUCGCAGAAAUGUUAAGACAGGUGCUGCACGGCUGUCGUCAGCUCGUGUCGUGAGAUGUUGGGUUAAGUCCCGCAACGAGCGCAACCCACGUCAUUAGUUGCUAACAGUUCGGCUGAGCACUCUAAUGAGACUGCCUUCGUAAGGAGG
This 961-nucleotide ribosomal RNA is filed under the name Campylobacter concisus. Its description in RNAcentral is "bacterial SSU rRNA". It matches the Rfam family "Bacterial small subunit ribosomal RNA", at positions 187 to 1166 of the family's 1533-position model. The record is from RNAcentral. Lineage: Bacteria; Pseudomonadati; Campylobacterota; Epsilonproteobacteria; Campylobacterales; Campylobacteraceae.